RNAcentral lists this ribosomal RNA (1194 nucleotides) under Vibrio cholerae. RNAcentral describes it as "partial 23S ribosomal RNA". It matches the Rfam family "Bacterial large subunit ribosomal RNA", at positions 1 to 1252 of the family's 2925-position model. The record is from RNAcentral. Lineage: Bacteria; Pseudomonadati; Pseudomonadota; Gammaproteobacteria; Vibrionales; Vibrionaceae.
GGUUAAGUGACUAAGCGUACACGGUGGAUGCCUGGGCAGUCAGAGGCGAUGAAGGACGUACUAACUUGCGAUAAGCGCAGAUAAGGCAGUAAGAGCCGUUUGAGUCUGCGAUUUCCGAAUGGGGAAACCCAACUGCAUAAGCAGUUACUGUUAACUGAAUACAUAGGUUAACAGAGCAAACCGGGGGAACUGAAACAUCUAAGUACCCCGAGGAGAAGAAAUCAACCGAGAUUCCGGUAGUAGCGGCGAGCGAACCUGGAUUAGCCCUUAAGCACUCGGUGAAGUAGGUGAACAAGCUGGAAAGCUUGGCGAUACAGGGUGAUAGCCCCGUAACCGACGCUUCAUCGAGCGUGAAAUCGAGUAGGGCGGGACACGUGAUAUCCUGUCUGAAUAUGGGGGGACCAUCCUCCAAGGCUAAAUACUCCUGACUGACCGAUAGUGAACCAGUACCGUGAGGGAAAGGCGAAAAGAACCCCUGUGAGGGGAGUGAAAUAGAACCUGAAACCGUGUACGUACAAGCAGUAGGAGCACCUUCGUGGUGUGACUGCGUACCUUUUGUAUAAUGGGUCAGCGACUUAUAUUCAGUGGCAAGGUUAACCGUAUAGGGGAGCCGUAGCGAAAGCGAGUCUUAACUGGGCGCUCAGUCUCUGGAUAUAGACCCGAAACCGGGUGAUCUAGCCAUGGGCAGGUUGAAGGUUGAGUAACAUCAACUGGAGGACCGAACCGACUAAUGUUGAAAAAUUAGCGGAUGACUUGUGGCUAGGGGUGAAAGGCCAAUCAAACUCGGAGAUAGCUGGUUCUCCCCGAAAGCUAUUUAGGUAGCGCCUCGGACGAAUACUACUGGGGGUAGAGCACUGUUAAGGCUAGGGGGUCAUCCCGACUUACCAACCCUUUGCAAACUCCGAAUACCAGUAAGUACUAUCCGGGAGACACACGGCGGGUGCUAACGUCCGUCGUGGAGAGGGAAACAACCCAGACCGCCAGCUAAGGUCCCAAAGUAUUGCUAAGUGGGAAACGAUGUGGGAAGGCUCAGACAGCUAGGAUGUUGGCUUAGAAGCAGCCAUCAUUUAAAGAAAGCGUAAUAGCUCACUAGUCGAGUCGGCCUGCGCGGAAGAUGUAACGGGGCUAAGCAAUACACCGAAGCUGCGGCAAUGUCUUUUAGACAUUGGGUAGGGGAGCGUUCUGUAAGCCGUU